Molecule: non-coding RNA, 24 nt
Filed under: Arabidopsis thaliana (thale cress)
Lineage: Eukaryota; Viridiplantae; Streptophyta; Magnoliopsida; Brassicales; Brassicaceae
Source: RNAcentral
AUGGUCGUCGCAAUUCUAGAGGAG